This is a long non-coding RNA of Cephus cinctus (wheat stem sawfly), 617 nucleotides long. RefSeq lists it as uncharacterized. The record is from RefSeq and is a predicted model, not a curated record. Lineage: Eukaryota; Metazoa; Arthropoda; Insecta; Hymenoptera; Cephidae. The transcript has 2 exons.
CAGCAAACGGAAUAUCCAAGAGUUGUCGGUACGAUUGAUCGUGUUAUUUGACCUAUGAUCGAUCAUCAAUUUUCAUUUAAAUUACUUAUUCAGCCAUUAGGAAGGAAAAAAAUUACUUAUUCAUCCGACAGAGUGUGCUUUGCGUUGGUAGUAAAAACAUCUGACAGUGAGUGUGCGACAUUCAGAGCAGAAUUGUGAAACGUGCUGUGCGAUACAAUCCUUUAUGAAAUUCUUGAUGUUCCAUGAAAUUUCAUGGCUUUCUUUCUAUCAAGAUCAUAAUUCCUGAUUAUUUUAAUGUGAAUAUAAUUUAUAUGUACACAUAUACUAUAUUUGGGUAUAGGAUAAUAUCAAUUCUAAUAUUUUGAAACAUCUACUCAAUAAUGCUGAGUCUUUUAACAUUAUCGAACAUAAUUAUAUAAUUCCCACUAAUCACGGCCACUGACUGAUGUCCGAGCAAUACUGGCUGUUUCAUCAAGCAUAUGAUAUUAAGGGAAAAAAUCAUUUUGAAUUUAAAACGGGACGAUAAAACAAACAUGAGCUCUGUAUGUCACAUAAUGCAUUUAAUAAUACGUCUGCCGCCAUAAUGCAGAAAGUAAUAAAGAUACUUGAAAAUUCCA